CGCGGGGAGGAGUAACGGUUGCUCGACAGCCCCAUAAGCUGUAGGUAGCGGGUUCAAUUCCCGCCCCCGCAACAA
Molecule: transfer RNA, 75 nt
Filed under: Candidatus Ryanbacteria bacterium RIFCSPLOWO2_01_FULL_48_26
Lineage: Bacteria; Candidatus Ryaniibacteriota
Description: tRNA-Met
Rfam family: tRNA
About the family: Transfer RNA (tRNA) molecules are approximately 80 nucleotides in length. Their secondary structure includes four short double-helical elements and three loops (D, anti-codon, and T loops).
Source: RNAcentral